GACGAACGCUGGCGGCGUGCUUAACACAUGCAAGUCGAACGGAAAGGCGCUGCUUUUGUGGGGUGCUCGAGUGGCGAACGGGUGAGUAACACGUGAGUAACCUGCCCUUGACUUUGGGAUAACUUCAGGAAACUGGGGCUAAUACCGGAUAGGAGCUCCUGCUGCAUGGUGGGGGUUGGAAAGUUUCGGCGGUUGGGGCUGGACUCGCGGCUUAUCAGCUUGUUGGUGGGGUAGUGGCUUACAAAGGCUAUGACGGGUAGCCGGCCUGAGAGGGUGACCGGCCACAUUGGGACUGAGAUACGGCCCAGACUCCUACGGGAGGCAGCAGUGGGGAAUAUUGCACAGUGGGCGGAAGCCUGAUGCAGCAACGCCGCGUGCGGGAUGACGGCCUUCGGGUUGUAAACCGCUUUCGCCUGUGACGAAGCGUGAGUGACGGUAAUGGGUAAAGAAGCACCGGCUAACUACGUG
RNAcentral lists this ribosomal RNA (468 nucleotides) under uncultured bacterium. Its description in RNAcentral is "partial 16S ribosomal RNA". It matches the Rfam family "Bacterial small subunit ribosomal RNA", at positions 28 to 507 of the family's 1533-position model. The record is from RNAcentral.